AAGUCGUAACAAGGUUUCCGUAGGUGAACCUGCGGAAGGGUCAUUAACACGUAUCCAACGUUAAACCCCCUGUGAACCUUCAUUGUACGAGUUACAUCCACGUCAUAAACCGGCAGCCGAACAGUUUUGAUUCAGAGACCUCUGGGAAGGGUGUACGGUAGUGCGAGGCAAUUGACCUGCAUUCCUCUGCUUGUUAGUGUCUGAAAGUGUCACUAGCUAUGUACGGAUGGCGCAGUAACGAUCGCUGGAGGCCGACACGGCCGGCGACCAGGUCCAGUGACCACGGCCACAACCUUUGCAUGAAAACGGGCGCGGCCACCCCUAAUGCUUGAACAACUGUUAACAAUGGAUAUCUUGGUUCUC
Molecule: unclassified non-coding RNA, 363 nt
Filed under: fungal sp.
Lineage: Eukaryota; Fungi
Description: partial internal transcribed spacer region
Rfam family: Eukaryotic small subunit ribosomal RNA (bases 1-46)
Source: RNAcentral